Long non-coding RNA from Ostrea edulis (European flat oyster), 5243 nucleotides. RefSeq lists it as uncharacterized. Lineage: Eukaryota; Metazoa; Mollusca; Bivalvia; Ostreida; Ostreidae. The record is from RefSeq and is a predicted model, not a curated record. The transcript has 2 exons.
AGCGGAUUUAAAUGAAUCACAAUCCCACUACUUUCUUUUUGAGAGAGAAAUUUCAAACAGUCACGUCUUAGUGUAACAUAAAUGUUUGGUGUAAAAUCCAAAGAGAUGUGGAAGAAAUGUUCUAAAAAGGUGAAUAAAAAACAGUGAUCAAUCUCAUAACUGCUAUAAGGAAUACAAAAUAGGGAGUUGGGCAGACACGGACAUUUGGAUACACAAGGGCUGGGAUCAACUGCCUAGGAGGAAUAAGCAUCCCCUAUCAACCGGUCACAUCCGCCGUGAACCCUAUAACUUGAUCAGGUAAACUCCAAAUAGUGUAUUUCUGGGUAAAUAUAACAGUACCCAAGAUCUGUAUUGUUUUAGUGUUGUUGGUUGUUGGUUUUUUUUUAAUCAUUUUAUGUUUGUUUUAUUUCCCGAUAAGAUAGAACAAAACAUGAAAGAUUUUUCAACUAUUUUUUUCUUUUUGGUAUAAAAAUAUAUAACUAUUUAGACUUAGCCCUCGCAUUCUUUGGGAGGAAGGAACGCCAUUGGAUCGCUGAUUCCCACUUUUAAAUCGUAAUAACUGAAAAGAGAAAAGUGCACUUGCUAAAUGUAAUCAUAAAUUUGUAAACAAAAAGUAGAGAAACGUGAAUAAUUACGAUAAGACCCUUUAAUAUACUUCUUUAUUUUUUGAAAGAAACGUCAGGUCAUAAUGAAUUGCAUCAUUAAUUUCCACAAAUGUGAACAGUUGGCCUUAAAAAAUGAUAUCGGAGUAAGUGACGUAUACUCGUCAUGUUACCCAUUCUAGCGGAUGUUUCGUCUUGUAUCCCGACAGAAAAAUAAAACAUUAGUUCUUACGUGGAAUCUUCGAAUCCGUAUUUUUGUGUGAUAUGAAUGUUCUGAACGGGUACACAGUCAGGGGACGUCACCAGGGACACACGGGCCUCUGAAACAGAUUGAUUUACAUUGAUAUUAAAUUGAUGAUGAUUUUAAUUGAAAUACUGCUUGUGAUUAAAGAGAAAAUUUGAGCAAAAUAACCCCCCAAAAGAAUCUUUGGAAGAAAGUUGAUAAGACAAAUUACAUUUAUUUUGGUAUAUCAUUCUUCUUCCCAAUGAUUUGGCUACCAUGUAACUAACAUCAUCCAUUUUGUAAAAUGGAGAUACACGGGUAUCUUAAGCAAACUCAAAUAUUUUUAAAAAGUACAUCACAUGACAUCUUAAUGUCUAUUUCUGGAAAUAAGACUCUUCGAAAGACUGAUAAUGACUGAGCAUUAUCUCACAUCAUUCUAUAGAUAUCUAGUCCUUUUAAAUAGUCUUGAGUAGGCCAUCUACUGUAGUUGUCCUGAACUUUGACCUACCUCCUGUAGUGUUCAUGGAGAACCGCUGAACGGUAACUUGUUCAUUGGGAAGACCAGCACCACCGAUCACGGCCUCGAAUUCAAACUUUUCACCUGGGAAGGUACCACGUUGGAAGAAAGGUCGGUAGGGGACGGUGACGUUGCACUUUCUGGUUUUAAGGUCUACACGGUACAUCUUGUUCUUAAAGAAAUUAUAAAAGAUCUCCGUUCAAGGAAUCUGUACCGCUAGAUAUUACACAGAAAAAUACAAUACUGUAUGUUCUUCCACAGAAAAUUAGCACUGUACGUAAAAUGUCUAAAUAUUGAAGACGUUUACAAUGAUCAAAAUCAUUUUCUAUAGGUAGAAAUCAUUUUAAUUUUACUGUUCCAAAUCCCACGUGCGGUGGUUUAUCUCUUCUAACUCGUUCUAUAAAUUGGGAUAUAUCAUCAGGGACUGUUAAGUACUGUAAAAAGCAGCAUGGUAUUCCGAAUUCAUACCUCAUUCCACAAAAUGAGUUCAUCAUAAAAACUUCUGUCGCUUCCAAGGUCAAUCUCCUCCAGUCGUCUUUCGCGUCUGUUCGUGGCGUCAUAGACAAGACGACGCCGUUCCAUAAACUUCUGCGAGGGGUCUACCUUGAUAACGAAAUCAGUCAGAAAGGAAGUCUGAGACAAAAUAUAACAAAUGGAAAAACUGAACACUGUUGCAUAGAUAUAGAAGUUUUCCAUUUCUUUCUUUUUUCAUAUUCGAGAAAUAGAUAUAUGUGAACCGGAAUUAGAAUUAUUCACACUUACUUUGACUUCCCGGCAUUCCCAUUGAGGAGGGGAUUCUGAAGUAGAAAGAUUUAACAGUCAUAGUAUUCUUUUUGCAACUGAAUAGAUAUAGUUGAUUUACGAUUUCGUAUUAUAAAAAUACAUAGAUGUAGUUUUCCCAAAAUAUUUUCUGGAGCAGGACAAACGUCUCCGACACUCGAUCUUGUAAAUAGAAUUGCUUGAUGAUAAAUAAACAUUUGAUUUCAUCUCAGACACCUGGUACAAACAAAAACAAAAUGUUGAUAUUCAUUAUUUUGGUUUUAAUACAGAAAUAAAAUUCCUUUAAAAAAGAAUGGAAUUGUAAUUUUCUGCGAUGUUUAUUAACUCCCCAUAUCUUUCCCUCACUGUUUUGGACCUAAUUGGAAAAUCAUGGGAAUAACUUAGAUUGCAUACCGUAAAUUGUAUUUAAUUCCAAUAUAAAAUCAAAAAAUUAUUAAAUUUCACUUUCAUAAUUUUUAAAAAAAAGUUUGUUUCGAGCAAGAGUCGUUAAUGAUUACAAAUCUUUUCUACUUACGGCAAGGUUGAGGGACCUGUGCAUAAACAGCACCGACCACAACCAGAAGGGCAAGCAGAGAAAACAUCCUCGAGAGUUCUAACCGACCAAUGUUUUAUAAUUCAGAAGAUGGGAUACUUAAAUACCAAUGCUUGUGACUAAGAUAACCUACUUAUGUAAACUGGAGAAGAUUGUUUUGUCGUCAUGAAGUCAUAACGUCCCCCAUGAUAACGGAACACAAUCGUGCAAGAACAGGGGAUCUGUCCUUCAAAAUGAAAUCGGAGGCUUAGACUGCCAAAGUCAAACUGUGUCAUAACAAAGAGAAAAUUCAAUCAACUUACUCUUUAAUGACUGAGUUUAGGUGUAGUUAGCAAGUGGAUGCAUAAAUAUUUUUUUUAGGAUUUAGUCUUUUGCAACCAACACGUCUAUGUUUAAAUCCUCUACAAUCAACGCGCCUAGAUAUACUUUCUUUGAUUGAUUGAUUGUUUAACGUCCCACCCGAUAAUUUUUCACUCAUUUGGAGACGUCACCAUUGCCGGUGAAGGGCUGCAAAAUUUAGGCCUACGCUAGGCGCUUAUAGCUUUUGAUCAGGGAGGGAUCUUUAUCGUGCCACAACUGCUGUGACACGGGAUCUCGGUUUUUGCGGCCCCAUCCGAAGGACCGCCCCAUUUAGUCGCCUAAUACGACAAGCAAGGGGGUACUGAGGACCUAUUCUAACCCGGAUCCCCUCGGAACUUUUACUCCAUUUGUAUUCAACGCGUUAAGGUUCACUUCCUUUGCAAUUUACACGCCUAGGUUUACUUCCUUUGCAACCAAUGCGUCUUUGGUUACUUCCUUUGCAAUCAAAACAUUUAGAUUUACCUCAUACGGAUACACAUUUGUGAUUUAGGGUCUUGCAUUAUGCUAUUUUUCUUCAAUAGUUCUGGUAAGUGCAUUAGUACCGAACUAGUUCUGGUCUACAAUCAGUUAAUUCCUCUCCCAGCUGUGUCUUAUCAUGGAACUUACACCCAGUCUUCUGUAGUGAUGUGUGUGUGUGUGUGUGUGAAUGUUAGACGACGAACAGAAGACUUGUCCAUAAAUACAACAUAUCCAAGACCAGGUAUUGGGUCAAUAUGGUUGGAUUUCUGACCUACUUUGACCCAUACUGACCAACUUUCACCCACCUAAAGAAUCGAUUUGCAGGUUUCACUUGGUCACUCACCUAUACUUGUAAAUUAUCAGGCUUCCUGAAAGUUAUUUUAACACAAUACAUAACAUACUAUUUUCUGGGCGGCUAUUCCUUUCUAUGUCUGUGGGGUGCUUUGUUGAAUGAAACAUCAUAUAAAAGGUGAUGCAUUGGAGACAUUGACACACGAACAUUCUAAUUUCAUAAACUGUGAAACCUUUUUAAAAGUUUAUAUAUUUGAACAUAAAUUAUGCUUUUUUUUAAAUUGAGCUUUCAAAUUAAAUUGUUUCUUAAUUUCGUUUCCAUUUCUAAAUAGAAUAUUUCACAUUACAACUUCCGUGCGUUUCCUUGGAAAUAGUUUAGAAUAUACAAAAUUUUAUAGGCCAAUUUGAUGCUUUGCAUCAAAAUUAACAUGUUUUCGAAAAUUUGACAAUUAUUCAAUAUUGUUCGUAUCUGGUCAUUGUAGUGUUUUAUCAAUAUCCUUAUUUGAUCUCGUAUCUACCAUUAUUUAUAUCCGACACUUUUUAAAUGUUGAGUGUUGUUGGUUUUCAGUGCUUGCUAUAUCUAUAAAAUUCAGAAAUGCUGCUAGCUUCAGCCUAGUGUAGUAGUAUCAGAAAAUUAUCAGUCGAGUAUAUCAUUAUCAACUCAUUUAUUUAAUUAAUAUCUGGAAACCCAUAAUGAAUGGAUUCUAUGUUUUACACGUGCAAACUGCCAUUUCUGGGGGUACUUGUUGUAAAAACUUUGCAUAAAACCGAAAAUUCAUAAUAUUUGUUGAGUAAUGAAUAAAAAUGAAACGUAUUGAUUACAACAAUUUUAAAAGACCUUUUUCUAUAUCUUUGUUAUUAAAUGGAAUCAUAAAUGAUAAUAAUAAUAAAAAAAGAAAGAUUCCUCAUCUCCUAUAAACACAAGCAUAACUAGAUCGGCUGCCCCUAAUGAUCAGGAGUUCGACAAGCAGUGCUGUCCCCUUCUGCUCGUGCACUAAGUGUUAAAACCAUGACAACUGUGUUUUACAUAACAUAGCAUGAUACACGUGUUCUGAUUACAUGUUAUGUGAAUUUAAUUAUUUUGUUAUUUACCAAUCCACCUUCGUGUAUAAUGCAAAAUGUUUUAUUUCUGUAAACAAUGGUGCGUUUGUACUUGUCGGUGUUGCGUAAGAAAUUAGAUAAUUAUAUUCUGAUUCACAACAAAACCGUGCGGGGAAAAUCCAGACCGACUCUGUUUGUUUUCUCAUUAACAUUAUCACUCAAGUGGCUAAUAAAAACAAAUCCCAUAUUAAUGAAAAACAAGUUGAAUUACAAAAUGACUAAAAGUCUAUUUAGUAUUAUGAUGGUCUUGAAAACAAUGGAAUCAUGGGUGUAAUUUCUGUACAAUCCACUACGCCGACAGCGAGUUUUAAAAAUGCAUGUAACCCAUAAUAGCAAACAAGUCCUUUAUUGUUCAGAAGAAUAUAGCUGUGCAUAAAU